UUUUUUUUUUUGAAAAAAAAAAUGACAAGUGUAUUUAUUUAGAUUACCCAUUCAGGCACUAAGAGUAACAAGAGAGCUGUAGAUAUGAGAUUCAAGAAUACGAUUACAUAUCCAAAAACAUACAGGCCAUUCAAGAAACCAUGAAAACUUCUUCCCAUUAGUUUGCUAGCAUCUUCCAUUUUACCAACAGUGUCAAGAAAUUAACUCUCAACAGUGGAUCUUUUCUUGGUGGUGUAAGGGUAGUACUCCUUGCCAGUGUCAAUUCUGGUGGUUUGACCUCCAGCGUCAAUUGCUGCAGAAGUGACUGCCAAUGCUGUACCAGCAGAAAUAGCUGUUGAAAUGCUCCUUCCUUUGAAGCCCAGAAUGGAGGCCCCAGCAACAAAGCCACCAACAGCUCC
RNAcentral lists this unclassified non-coding RNA (398 nucleotides) under Hevea brasiliensis (rubber tree). The record is from RNAcentral. Lineage: Eukaryota; Viridiplantae; Streptophyta; Magnoliopsida; Malpighiales; Euphorbiaceae.